This 429-nucleotide ribosomal RNA is filed under the name Pseudomonadota bacterium. RNAcentral describes it as "Proteobacteria bacterium partial 16S ribosomal RNA". It matches the Rfam family "Bacterial small subunit ribosomal RNA", at positions 355 to 776 of the family's 1533-position model. Lineage: Bacteria; Pseudomonadati; Pseudomonadota. The record is from RNAcentral.
UGGGGAAUAUUGGACAAUGGGCGAAAGCCUGAUCCAGCCAUGCCGCGUGUGUGAAGAAGGUCUUCGGAUUGUAAAGCACUUUAAGUUGGGAGGAAGGGCAGUAAGCGAAUACCUUGCUGUUUUGACGUUACCGACAGAAUAAGCACCGGCUAACUCUGUGCCAGCAGCCGCGGUAAUACAGAGGGUGCAAGCGUUAAUCGGAAUUACUGGGCGUAAAGCGCGCGUAGGUGGUUCGUUAAGUUGAAUGUGAAAGCCCCGGGCUCAACCUGGGAACUGCAUCCGAAACUGGCGAGCUAGUGUAGGGCAGAGGGUGGUGGAAUUUCCUGUGUAGCGGUGAAAUGCGUAGAUAUAGGAAGGAACACCAGUGGCGAAGGCGACCACCUGGGCUCAUACUGACACUGAGGUGCGAAAGCGUGGGGAGCAAACAGG